AGAUUAAGUUAUUAAGGGCGCACGGUGGAUGCCUUGGCACUAGAAGCCGAUGAAGGACGUUACUAACGACGAUAUGCUUUGGGGAGCUGUAAGUAAGCUUUGAUCCAGAGAUUUCCGAAUGGGGAAACCCAGCAUGAGUUAUGUCAUGUUAUCGAUAUGUGAAUACAUAGCAUAUCAGAAGGCACACCCGGAGAACUGAAACAUCUUAGUACCCGGAGGAAGAGAAAGAAAAUUCGAUUCCCUUAGUAGCGGCGAGCGAAACGGGAAGAGCCCAAACCAACAAGCUUGCUUGUUGGGGUUGUAGGACACUCUAUACGGAGUUACAAAGGACGACAUUAGACGAAUCAUCUGGAAAGAUGAAUCAAAGAAGGUAAUAAUCCUGUAGUCGAAAAUGUUGUCUCUCUUGAGUGGAUCCUGAGUACGACGGAGCACGUGAAAUUCCGUCGGAAUCUGGGAGGACCAUCUCCUAAGGCUAAAUACUCUCUAGUGACCGAUAGUGAACCAGUACCGUGAGGGAAAGGUGAAAAGCACCCCGGAAGGGGAGUGAAAUAGAACCUGAAACCGUGUGCUUACAAGUAGUCAGAGCCCGUUAAUGGGUGAUGGCGUGCCUUUUGUAGAAUGAACCGGCGAGUUACGAUUUGAUGCAAGGUUAAGCAGUAAAUGUGGAGCCGUAGCGAAAGCGAGUCUGAAUAGGGCGUUUAGUAUUUGGUCGUAGACCCGAAACCAGGUGAUCUACCCUUGGUCAGGUUGAAGUUCAGGUAACACUGAAUGGAGGACCGAACCGACUUACGUUGAAAAGUGAGCGGAUGAACUGAGGGUAGCGGAGAAAUUCCAAUCGAACCUGGAGAUAGCUGGUUCUCUCCGAAAUAGCUUUAGGGCUAGCCUCAAGUGAUGAUUAUUGGAGGUAGAGCACUGUUUGGACGAGGGGCCCCUCUCGGGUUACCGAAUUCAGACAAACUCCGAAUGCCAAUUAAUUUAACUUGGGAGUCAGAACAUGGGUGAUAAGGUCCGUGUUCGAAAGGGAAACAGCCCAGACCACCAGCUAAGGUCCCAAAAUAUAUGUUAAGUGGUAAAGGAUGUGGCGUUGCCCAGACAACUAGGAUGUUGGCUUAGAAGCAGCCAUCAUUUAAAGAGUGCGUAAUAGCUCACUAGUCGAGUGACACUGCGCCGAAAAUGUACCGGGGCUAAACAUAUUACCGAAGCUGUGGAUUGUCCUUUGGACAAUGGUAGGAGAGCGUUCUAAGGGCGUUGAAGCAUGAUCGUAAGGACAUGUGGAGCGCUUAGAAGUGAGAAUGCCGGUGUGAGUAGCGAAAGACGGGUGAGAAUCCCGUCCACCGAUUGACUAAGGUUUCCAGAGGAAGGCUCGUCCGCUCUGGGUUAGUCGGGUCCUAAGCUGAGGCCGACAGGCGUAGGCGAUGGAUAACAGGUUGAUAUUCCUGUACCACCUAUAAUCGUUUUAAUCGAUGGGGGGACGCAGUAGGAUAGGCGAAGCGUGCGAUUGGAUUGCACGUCUAAGCAGUAAGGCUGAGUAUUAGGCAAAUCCGGUACUCGUUAAGGCUGAGCUGUGAUGGGGAGAAGACAUUGUGUCUUCGAGUCGUUGAUUUCACACUGCCGAGAAAAGCCUCUAGAUAGAAAAUAGGUGCCCGUACCGCAAACCGACACAGGUAGUCAAGAUGAGAAUUCUAAGGUGAGCGAGCGAACUCUCGUUAAGGAACUCGGCAAAAUGACCCCGUAACUUCGGGAGAAGGGGUGCUCUUUAGGGUUAACGCCCAGAAGAGCCGCAGUGAAUAGGCCCAAGCGACUGUUUAUCAAAAACACAGGUCUCUGCUAAACCGUAAGGUGAUGUAUAGGGGCUGACGCCUGCCCGGUGCUGGAAGGUUAAGAGGAGUGGUUAGCUUCUGCGAAGCUACGAAUCGAAGCCCCAGUAAACGGCGGCCGUAACUAUAACGGUCCUAAGGUAGCGAAAUUCCUUGUCGGGUAAGUUCCGACCCGCACGAAAGGCGUAACGAUUUGGGCACUGUCUCAACGAGAGACUCGGUGAAAUCAUAGUACCUGUGAAGAUGCAGGUUACCCGCGACAGGACGGAAAGACCCCGUGGAGCUUUACUGUAGCCUGAUAUUGAAAUUCGGCACAGCUUGUACAGGAUAGGUAGGAGCCUUUGAAACGUGAGCGCUAGCUUACGUGGAGGCGCUGGUGGGAUACUACCCUAGCUGUGUUGGCUUUCUAACCCGCACCACUUAUCGUGGUGGGAGACAGUGUCAGGCGGGCAGUUUGACUGGGGCGGUCGCCUCCUAAAAGGUAACGGAGGCGCUCAAAGGUUCCCUCAGAAUGGUUGGAAAUCAUUCAUAGAGUGUAAAGGCAUAAGGGAGCUUGACUGCGAGACCUACAAGUCGAGCAGGGUCGAAAGACGGACUUAGUGAUCCGGUGGUUCCGCAUGGAAGGGCCAUCGCUCAACGGAUAAAAGCUACCCCGGGGAUAACAGGCUUAUCUCCCCCAAGAGUUCACAUCGACGGGGAGGUUUGGCACCUCGAUGUCGGCUCAUCGCAUCCUGGGGCUGUAGUCGGUCCCAAGGGUUGGGCUGUUCGCCCAUUAAAGCGGUACGCGAGCUGGGUUCAGAACGUCGUGAGACAGUUCGGUCCCUAUCCGUCGUGGGCGUAGGAAAUUUGAGAGGAGCUGUCCUUAGUACGAGAGGACCGGGAUGGACAUACCUCUGGUGUACCAGUUGUCGUGCCAACGGCAUAGCUGGGUAGCUAUGUGUGGACGGGAUAAGUGCUGAAAGCAUCUAAGCAUGAAGCCCCCCUCAAGAUGAGAUUUCCCAACUUCGGUUAUAAGAUCCCUCAAAGAUGAUGAGGUUAAUAGGUUCGAGGUGGAAGCAUGGUGACAUGUGGAGCUGACGAAUACUAAUCGAUCGAAGACUUAAUCAAAUU
Molecule: ribosomal RNA, 2927 nt
Filed under: Staphylococcus aureus
Lineage: Bacteria; Bacillati; Bacillota; Bacilli; Caryophanales; Staphylococcaceae
Description: 23S ribosomal RNA
Rfam family: Bacterial large subunit ribosomal RNA
Source: RNAcentral